UCGAUAUAAUCGACUUAAUCUGUUUGUCUGUCCCCUCUGUGUUUAGUCCCCUGCGGGUAGUAAAGAAAUAGGUAUCCUCAUAGACCACAUCAUGUCCUUAUCUCCCCCAUAUCUCCUUGUCCCCACCUCCCUUUUCCUUCCGUCCCUGCAGCCUCCUCUCCCCAUCUUUCCCUUCAUCUUCUUCCACCUCCCCAUCCAUCAACCUCCUGCUCUUCGGUCUCACACCCUUGGACAUACAAGAGUUACUGCCCAUUAUAGUUGGUAACGCCUCCUUCCAAUAUAACAGUGAUUUACAAACGGACUUCCGACCGGCCUAAGUAUGGGAUCUAGCCUAUCAGGCCUGCUGGCCUGCUGGCCAUCAUGUACAUGGAUAAGCUAGAACGCACAGUACUCAAUACCUGCCACUCACGCAUCUUCUCCAGGUACAUUGGUAUCAUCCGUUCCUCCAGGGAUUAGGCCAUUAACAUACACUGGACCUUCAUUAACACUGACAUAAACAUCAAAUUCGAGAUUGAACAUCCAGACGAAUCCGAAACUCUCUCUCUACUCAACUUCCAAAUCAAGAUCGCAGUGGAAGGCUCCAUAUUUACCAAAUUCUACAGAAAAGCCGCUGCCAAUAGAAAACUUAUCGUCCACUACCAAUUAGCCUUGCCCACCAGAGCCAAAGCCACAUACCUGAGAAACGAGAUUGCACAUAUAAACAAUUGCAGGACAUGACCGACAAAGCUGUCAACCCCAAACGGUUCCUCAGAGACCCAACCCUGAAUGGCUAACCACCAUCUUUAGCUAAACAAUGGCGCCUGAAGAACGUCGAGGUCAAUAAAUGCUGGAAGAAUUAUCCUAGUGCCAAGUCCAGCAUGUGCCUCCUAAAGCUGCCACACUUUGACAGAACUAUUGUAGCGAUACAACAUGCAGUCCCCAGAGAAGGACUCGACAUAGAGAUAGUGCUCAUUGGCCCUUCCCUGAUUAAAGCUCUGUCCAAGAACACCUCUCACUACGCCGAUGAGUACACAUUGUCAAACUGCCCCAUCAAUGACCCUGAAUUGUGCCAGAGGACCCAUGUUGUAUAUGAGAUCAUCUGUGGCAAAUGUGACACACCCUAGAUUGGAAGCACGACAAGGAAACUGCAUAUACGCAUUAAGGAACACAAGCAGGCAGACACUUCUAUGAAGAAACAUCUACAGCAAUGCCAGACCCGGGAGUUCACAUCAAGGCAACACAGCAGAACAGAGGCAACCUUAGAAUGUCUGAAGCAUUGAAUACAAGACUCCAUACCAAGGAAGAGAGAAAGAAGUUGGUAAAAACCUGCAAAGAGAUGAAAACAAAAUCAAAUCUCGGUUGACAAGGUGGAAUUUAAAAGAAAAGGUAACCACCAAACCAAAUCAAAUGUAAGCAGUCUGAAGCGAGAACUACAACAUUCAAUGAAUUUCAGAGAAAGCCAUGCAGUCCUGUCAGUGAUUUUCCCCCAUCAAAACCUUUUGUCUUCUGUGCUCAGACGUUCGCCAUAUUACCUCGUCUCGGCAGACGACAACAGCGCGUGGUCACAUUCGUAGCCGAUACUUCUUUGAACGCUCACAUAACACCCCCCUCUUCUCCCACCAGUCCGCUCAAUCCUCCAACUAUCACUCCGCACCUUCUCCCCCCCCCUCUGUAUCUAUCAAUCUAUUCUUCCCACUCCUCUUUCUGGUCUGCUUAACUUCGUACCC
RNAcentral lists this long non-coding RNA (1706 nucleotides) under Octopus sinensis (East Asian common octopus). RNAcentral describes it as "uncharacterized LOC115226149". The record is from RNAcentral. Lineage: Eukaryota; Metazoa; Mollusca; Cephalopoda; Octopoda; Octopodidae.